This 247-nucleotide unclassified non-coding RNA is filed under the name Glomus sp. Its description in RNAcentral is "partial contains 5.8S ribosomal RNA and internal transcribed spacer 2". The stretch from base 1 to 71 matches the Rfam family "5.8S ribosomal RNA", at positions 84 to 154 of the family's 154-position model. The record is from RNAcentral. Lineage: Eukaryota; Fungi; Glomeromycota; Glomeromycetes; Glomerales; Glomeraceae.
GUGAAUCAUCAAAUUUUUGAACGCAAAUGGCACUCUCUGGUAUUCCGGAGAGUAUGCCUGUUUGAGGGUCAGUUUAAAUAAAAAUCGGUGUGGUUGCUGCCUUUCGUGGUGACGCACCGGAUUUGGGUGGUCUUGCCUUCGGUUAAGUGACCUAAAAUUUUGCAUGAUUUUUUUGAAAGUAGUUAAAUGAUUUUACGUACAGUUGUGAUAUCGCUUAUUGGGUUUGGUUAUGCUCAUGAUUCGCGGC